RNAcentral lists this unclassified non-coding RNA (97 nucleotides) under Bettsia alvei. RNAcentral describes it as "internal transcriber spacer 1". Lineage: Eukaryota; Fungi; Ascomycota; Leotiomycetes. The record is from RNAcentral.
AAGAGACGUUGCCCUUCGGGGUAUACCUCCCACCCUUUGUAUAUCAUACCUUCAAACUCUGUUAUUAGUGUCGUCUGAGUACUAUAAACAAUAGUUA